RNAcentral lists this ribosomal RNA (506 nucleotides) under uncultured bacterium. RNAcentral describes it as "partial 16S ribosomal RNA". It matches the Rfam family "Bacterial small subunit ribosomal RNA", at positions 30 to 523 of the family's 1533-position model. The record is from RNAcentral.
AUUGAACGCUGGCGGCAGGCUUAACACAUGCAAGUCGAGCGGUAACAGAGAGAAGCUUGCUUCUCUGCUGACGAGCGGCGGUCGGGUGAGUAAUGCCUAUGAAUCUGCCUAGUAGUGGGGGAUAACUUGCCGAAAGGUAAGCUAAUACCGCAUACGUCCUACGGGAGAAAGGAGGGGACCUUCGGGCCUUUCGCUAUUAGAUGAGCCUAGGUCGGAUUAGUUAGUUGGUGAGGUAAUGGCUCACCAAGACCGCGAUCCGUAACUGGUCUGAGAGGAUGAUCAGUCACACUGGAACUGAGACACGGUCCAGACUCCUACGGGAGGCAGCAGUGGGGAAUAUUGGGCAAUGGGGGGAACCCUGAUCCAGCCAUGCCGCGUGUGUGAAGAAGGUCUUAGGAUUGUAAAGCACUUUAAGUUGGGAGGAAGAGCAGUUAACUAAUAUUUGACUGUUUUGACGUUACCGACAGAAUAAGCACCGGCUAACUUCGUGCCAGCAGCCGCCGCGG